This 352-nucleotide long non-coding RNA is filed under the name Mytilus galloprovincialis (Mediterranean mussel). Lineage: Eukaryota; Metazoa; Mollusca; Bivalvia; Mytilida; Mytilidae. The record is from RNAcentral.
GUGGGAGUAUUGGGCUGUCGGAACAAUGGAUUGUCGGACUAUUGGGUUGUUGUACUAAUGGGUUGUCAGACUAAUUGGCUGUUGGACUAAUGUGCUGUCGGACCAAUAGGUUUUCGGACUAAUGGGUUGUCUUUCCAAAGGGCUGUCCGACUAAUGGACUGUCGGACCAAUGGGCUGUCGGAAUAAUAGCAUGUAACCUAUAUGGCCUGGUUAACUAAAGAAAUUUCUAAAAUUUACCAUUUGAUCUUAGGAGAACCUUUCUGGAGCCCUCUUUUCGUCAUACAUACACUACUAUAUUGUUCGACUUUCAUAUAGAUUUUUUUUUAUCUUUUCUGUUAAUUUAAAAAAGAAG